This is a long non-coding RNA of Bos taurus (domestic cattle), 1068 nucleotides long. The record is from Ensembl. NCBI's taxonomy places the organism in Eukaryota, Metazoa, Chordata, Mammalia, Artiodactyla, Bovidae.
UUUGCUUUGUAGAAGGGCGCUCUGGCAGCUCGUGGGACUUCUCCAAGCCCCAGUGGCUCAUGCUCCCGCGCCGCCAGCCUGUAAUGGCCAGCUUUGCCUCUGUGCCGUCAUCGCCCUUUGAUAGCGUUGCUUCUCCCCUCAAUCCUGAGCCCCCCGGGGACACUCCCCACCCCGGCCCGGUGACCGCAGCGCGCAGCCUCGCAGGUGGCGCGCGCAGCCUGGCUCGGCGGAGAGUGCCUGGGGCGAUGGCACACGGCUGAACCAGAAGUCUGCGCAGAACUUUGCCCCUGGAAGCGGGGCCUCCCACUCGGCUCGGCUACGCGGAUUCCGGCCGGGUGUGGCGGAGGGACCGUCGCGUGACGCAGGCGGCCACACGUGGCCUAGGAGUGUGCCGCUCGGGACAGGUGCGGGGGCCGCCAGCUCGGCACCCAGGCUCCCGCCCGGGGUUCUUCUCGGCUUCCCGGCCGCUGCGGUCUGGUCUUGGGACAGUGUCCCUGGGGGUGGGAUGGGGGCUGGCGCCUUCGGGGAGGGGGGCCCACCUUGGUUGGGGGCGGCCCGGAGGGUCUCCCAGGCGCUACGCAGAGCGAGCCGCAGGCCUCCUGGGCGCCCGGCAGGGUGGUGGGAGGGCCCGUCGGCCUCGCGACUCGCGAAGUUUUUUUUUUUCUUUUUUUGGACGCUGAGGCUCAGCUUGUCUAUCUAAGAAAUGGGUGUUUGAAAUAAACAGCUGGCAAAACACUUGCAAAUCUGGCCUCGAGCUGGGAGUCUAAUUCACUUUCAUUUCCCUCCUCCGUCUGGAAGCCCAAGGGGCUGGAGUAGCGGGCCACCACCCCACCACACCCCUCAGUCCCCGCGGCGCGACCUCUAGAAUUGACUUUGCGUCCCCUGGGGCCUGGAAGGGCCGGAAAAGCCCCCGCGGGGUGCGGUCGUGGAGCCGGGUCACGUGACUCCUGUCCGCUGGCUCCUGGCAGCAGGCCUCUGCGCAUGCGCACUUAUUCCCCCCCCCUUUUUUUUUUUUUUUUUUGGUAGGCUCGGACGCAACCACUGUCAGCUCCUCCCCCUCCUUCAUCC